CGGCGUGCUUACACAUGCAGUCGAACGAUGAACCACUUCGGUGGGGAUUAGUGGCGAACGGGUGAGUAACACGUGGGCAAUCUGCCCUGCACUCUGGGACAAGCCCUGGAAACGGGGUCUAAUACCGGAUAUUGACCUUCACGGGCAUCUGUGAGGUUCGAAAGCUCCGGCGGUGCAGGAUGAGCCCGCGGCCUAUCAGCUUGUUGGUGAGGUAAUGGCUCACCAAGGCGACGACGGGUAGCCGGCCUGAGAGGGCGACCGGCCACACUGGGACUGAGACACGGCCCAGACUCCUACGGGAGGCAGCAGUGGGGAAUAUUGCACAAUGGGCGAAAGCCUGAUGCAGCGACGCCGCGUGAGGGAUGACGGCCUUCGGGUUGUAAACCUCUUUCAGCAGGGAAGAAGCGAAAGUGACGGUACCUGCAGAAGAAGCGCCGGCUAACUACGUGCCAGCAGCCGCGGUAAUACGUAGGGCGCAAGCGUUGUCCGGAAUUAUUGGGCGUAAAGAGCUCGUAGGCGGCUUGUCACGUCGGUUGUGAAAGCCCGGGGCUUAACCCCGGGUCUGCAGUCGAUACGGGCAGGCUAGAGUUCGGUAGGGGAGAUCGGAAUUCCUGGUGUAGCGGUGAAAUGCGCAGAUAUCAGGAGGAACACCGGUGGCGAAGGCGGAUCUCUGGGCCGAUACUGACGCUGAGGAGCGAAAGCGUGGGGAGCGAACAGGAUUAGAUACCCUGGUAGUCCACGCCGUAAACGGUGGGCACUAGGUGUGGGCAACAUUCCACGUUGUCCGUGCCGCAGCUAAC
RNAcentral lists this ribosomal RNA (800 nucleotides) under Streptomyces sp. D8. Its description in RNAcentral is "bacterial SSU rRNA". It matches the Rfam family "Bacterial small subunit ribosomal RNA", at positions 40 to 856 of the family's 1533-position model. Lineage: Bacteria; Bacillati; Actinomycetota; Actinomycetes; Kitasatosporales; Streptomycetaceae. The record is from RNAcentral.